Molecule: ribosomal RNA, 1346 nt
Filed under: uncultured bacterium
Lineage: Bacteria
Description: bacterial SSU rRNA
Rfam family: Bacterial small subunit ribosomal RNA
Source: RNAcentral
GACGAACGCUGGCGGCGUGCUUAACACAUGCAAGUCGAACGGAAAGGCCCUGCUUUUGUGGGGUGCUCGAGUGGCGAACGGGUGAGUAACACGUGAGUAACCUGCCCUUGACUUUGGGAUAACUUCAGGAAACUGGGGCUAAUACCGGAUAGGAGCUCCUGCUGCAUGGUGGGGGUUGGAAAGUUUCGGCGGUUGGGGAUGGACUCGCGGCUUAUCAGCUUGUUGGUGGGGUAGUGGCUUACCAAGGCUUUGACGGGUAGCCGGCCUGAGAGGGUGACCGGCCACAUUGGGACUGAGAUACGGCCCAGACUCCUACGGGAGGCAGCAGUGGGGAAUAUUGCACAAUGGGCGGAAGCCUGAUGCAGCAACGCCGCGUGCGGGAUGACGGCCUUCGGGUUGUAAACCGCUUUCGCCUGUGACGAAGCGUGAGUGACGGUAAUGGGUAAAGAAGCACCGGCUAACUACGUGCCAGCAGCCGCGGUGAUACGUAGGGUGCGAGCGUUGUCCGGAUUUAUUGGGCGUAAAGGGCUCGUAGGUGGUUGAUCGCGUCGGAAGUGUAAUCUUGGGGCUUAACCCUGAGCGUGCUUUCGAUACGGGUUGACUUGAGGAAGGUAGGGGAGAAUGGAAUUCCUGGUGGAGCGGUGGAAUGCGCAGAUAUCAGGAGGAACACCAGUGGCGAAGGCGGUUCUCUGGGCCUUUCCUGACGCUGAGGAGCGAAAGCGUGGGGAGCGAACAGGCUUAGAUACCCUGGUAGUCCACGCUGUAAACGGUGGGUACUAGGUGUGGGGUCCAUUCCACGGGUUCCGUGCCGUAGCUAACGCUUUAAGUACCCCGCCUGGGGAGUACGGCCGCAAGGCUAAAACUCAAAGGAAUUGACGGGGCCCCGCACAAGCGGCGGAGCAUGCGGAUUAAUUCGAUGCAACGCGUAGAACCUUACCUGGGUUUGACAUGGAUCGGGAGUGCUCAGAGAUGGGUGUGCCUCUUUUGGGGUCGGUUCACAGGUGGUGCAUGCCUGUCGUCAGCUCGUGUCGUGAGAUGUUGGGUUAAGUCCCGCAACGAGCGCAACCCUUGUUCACUGUUGCCAGCACGUUAUGGUGGGGACUCAGUGGAGACCGCCGGGGUCAACUCGGAGGAAGGUGGGGAUGGCGUCAAGUCCUCAUGCCCCUUAUGUCCAGGGCUUCACGCAUGCUACAAUGGCUGGUACAGAGAGUGGCGAGCCUGUGAGGGUGAGCGAAUCUCGGAAAGCCGGUCUCAGUUCGGAUUGGGGUCUGCAACUCGACCUCAUGAAGUCGGAGUCGCUAGUAAUCGCAGAUCAGCAACGCUGCGGUGAAUAAGUUCCCGGGGCU